RNAcentral lists this ribosomal RNA (498 nucleotides) under uncultured bacterium. Its description in RNAcentral is "partial 16S ribosomal RNA". It matches the Rfam family "Bacterial small subunit ribosomal RNA", at positions 30 to 523 of the family's 1533-position model. The record is from RNAcentral.
AUUGAACGCUGGCGGCAUGCCUUACACAUGCAAGUCGAACGGUAACGGGCCUUCGGGUGCCGACGAGUGGCGAACGGGUGAGUAAUACAUCGGAACGUGCCCGAUCGUGGGGGAUAACGAGGCGAAAGCUUUGCUAAUACCGCAUACGAUCUACGGAUGAAAGCAGGGGACCGCAAGGCCUUGCGCGGACGGAGCGGCCGAUGGCAGAUUAGGUAGUUGGUGGGAUAAAAGCUUACCAAGCCGACGAUCUGUAGCUGGUCUGAGAGGAUGAUGAGCCACACUGGGACUGAGACACGGCCCAGACUCCUCCGGGAGGCAGCAGUGGGGAAUUUUGGGCAAUGGGCGCAAGCCUGAUCCAGCCAUGCCGCGUGCAGGAUGAAGGCCUUCGGGUUGUAAACUGCUUUUGUACGGAAUGAAAAGCCUUCUUCUAAUACAGGAGGGUCAUGACGGUACCGUAAGAAUAAGCACCGGCUAACUACGUGCCAGCCGCCGCCGUAA